This 426-nucleotide ribosomal RNA is filed under the name Hiatella arctica. RNAcentral describes it as "SSU rRNA". It matches the Rfam family "Eukaryotic small subunit ribosomal RNA", at positions 564 to 992 of the family's 1831-position model. Lineage: Eukaryota; Metazoa; Mollusca; Bivalvia; Adapedonta; Hiatellidae. The record is from RNAcentral.
GUGCCAGCAGCCGCGGUAAUUCCAGCUCCAAUAGCGUAUAUUAAAGUUGUUGCAGUUAAAAAGCUCGUAGUUGGAUCUCGGGUCCAGGCCUGCGGUCCGCCUCGCGGCGGUUACUGCUCGUCCUGGCCUACCUGCCGGUGUGUCCCUUGGUGCUCUUGAUUGAGUGUCUCGGGCGGCCGGAACGUUUACUUUGAAAAAAUUAGAGUGUUCAAAGCAGGCGUGUCGCCUGAAUAAUGGUGCAUGGAAUGAUGGAAUAGGACCUCGGUUCUAUUUUGUUGGUUUUCGGAGCUCGAGGUAAUGAUUAAGAGGGACUGACGGGGGCAUUCGUAUUGCGGUGUUAGAGGUGAAAUUCUUGGAUCAUCGCAAGACGAACUACAGCGAAAGCAUUUGCCAAGCAUGGUUUUCAUUAAUCAAGAACGAAAGUCA